RNAcentral lists this non-coding RNA (93 nucleotides) under human gut metagenome. RNAcentral describes it as "SAM riboswitch (S box leader)". It matches the Rfam family "SAM riboswitch aptamer (S box leader)". From Rfam's summary of the family: The SAM riboswitch is found upstream of a number of genes which code for proteins involved in methionine or cysteine biosynthesis in Gram-positive bacteria. The SAM riboswitch acts at the level of transcription termination control. RNAcentral also lists the same sequence under 1 other name. The record is from RNAcentral.
CCUUAUAAAGAGCGGCUGAGGGAACGGCCCUGUGAAGCCCGGCAACCUGCGUUAUGCAAGGUGCCAAGUCCGACGGUGAUACCGAGAGAUAAG